Molecule: long non-coding RNA, 478 nt
Organism: Etheostoma cragini (Arkansas darter)
Lineage: Eukaryota; Metazoa; Chordata; Actinopteri; Perciformes; Percidae
Exons: 3
Source: RefSeq, a predicted model, not a curated record
AAUGUAUCUGAGGCUUUAUGCCGUUAUAGCCCAAUGUGUUAUGUGGGCAGCUGUUGUCUUCCUGUGUGUGUCUCUCUCCUUUCCCCCCAUUGUGUAUGUGUGUGUGUAUGUGUGAAAGGCCGGUCGAUCUACCUCUCUGCACAGCUGCUGGCUAUUCCACUUACCAACUCUACAGUAUUUAUUCCUGGGCGAAGCUCACCCUCGGUGCCAGAUCGAUGCACCUACCAGUGUGACCUACGCCUCCAGACCUGUUUCCGUGGCUCAUCGCGCUCAGGCCUUCCUACGUUCCCGCUUGGAUUCCAGAAAGAAAGUUUGGAUCCAUCACUGCCUGCCCUCCUCGGCCCCUAUCCAGCUCGGAGUCAGCCUACCUUGUGUUUUCUGUCCUUGGCUGCUAAAGAAACUACAGUGUUGGAAACCAAGAACUGCUGGUCUGGACCGACCAUAAAAACUUAUGGCAUUCAUCCAAUCCACCAAAAGA